CGUCAACAAAAUUCGCAACAUCACCAUAACCAGCAGCACCCUUGGCACAGAAAUAGGAUCCGGAAUCCUCGUCCCGGAGGUCGGUCAUGGUCAGCGUCACCGAGCUCUGCCCGCUGUCCCUGGAGAUCGUGACCCGGCCCUUGAAUGGUGACGAGUACCAGGUGCUGCCACCAGCGUUGAUGUAGGCGACGUAUUCCAGCCCCUGCCCGGGUCUCUGGCGGAUCCAUAACAGGUCAGAACUC
Molecule: long non-coding RNA, 242 nt
Organism: Haemorhous mexicanus (house finch)
Lineage: Eukaryota; Metazoa; Chordata; Aves; Passeriformes; Fringillidae
Exons: 2
Source: RefSeq, a predicted model, not a curated record